RNAcentral lists this ribosomal RNA (464 nucleotides) under uncultured Desulfobulbus sp. RNAcentral's name for it is "bacterial SSU rRNA". It matches the Rfam family "Bacterial small subunit ribosomal RNA", at positions 924 to 1382 of the family's 1533-position model. Lineage: Bacteria; Pseudomonadati; Thermodesulfobacteriota; Desulfobulbia; Desulfobulbales; Desulfobulbaceae. The record is from RNAcentral.
CACAAGCGGUGGAGUAUGUGGUUUAAUUCGAUGCAACGCGAAGAACCUUACCUGGUCUUGACAUCCCAGAAAUCCCUUGGAAACUUGGGAGUGCUUCCAUUAGGAAGAAUCUGGAGACAGGUGCUGCAUGGCUGUCGUCAGCUCGUGUCGUGAGAUGUUGGGUUAAGUCCCGCAACGAGCGCAACCCUUGCCUUUAGUUGCCAGCAGUUCGGCUGGGCACUCUAAAGGGACUGCCGGUGUUAAACCGGAGGAAGGUGGGGAUGACGUCAAGUCCUCAUGGCCUUUAUGACCAGGGCUACACACGUACUACAAUGGCCGAUACAAAGGGCAGCGACAUCGCGAGGUGAAGCCAAUCCCAUAAAAUCGGUCUCAGUCCGGAUUGGAGUCUGCAACUCGACUCCAUGAAGUUGGAAUCGCUAGUAAUCGUGGAUCAGCAUGCCACGGUGAAUACGUUCCCGGGCCUU